GCAAUAUCUGCCGUUACAGGUGACCUCGCCAGCCGAUUCAUCUCUUUUCUCAUGAACAAAUACACGGAUCAUGUAUGCUCAGAGGAGAAGGCGGAGAGGCUACAACAACUCUUGUUGAGAGUUCACACGGUCGUCGAGGAGGCGGACGGACGAUGCAUCACCAACUCUUGUAUGCUCAUGCAGUUGAAGCAGCUAUCGUCAGCCAUGUACCAAGGGUACCAUGUGUUGGACAACGUCAGGUACAAGCAACAUAAGGAGGCAUCCAAGGACUUGGUGAGCGAUUCAUCUACCUCGUCCGAUUAUAUCAUUCCUUUCAAACGUGCU
Molecule: ribosomal RNA, 324 nt
Filed under: Triticum aestivum (bread wheat)
Lineage: Eukaryota; Viridiplantae; Streptophyta; Magnoliopsida; Poales; Poaceae
Description: partial small subunit ribosomal RNA
Source: RNAcentral